UCAAAGAUUAAGCCAUGCAUGUCUAAGUAUAAGCAACUUGUACUGUGAAACUGCGAAUGGCUCAUUAAAUCAGUUAUCGUUUAUUUGAUAGUACCUUACUACAUGGAUACCUGUGGUAAUUCUAGAGCUAAUACAUGCUAAAAACCCCGACUUCAGGAAGGGGUGUAUUUAUUAGAUAAAAAACCAACGCCCUUCGGGGCUCCUUGGUGAAUCAUAAUAACUUAACGAAUCGCAUGGCCUUGCGCCGGCGAUGGUUCAUUCAAAUUUCUGCCCUAUCAACUUUCGAUGGUAGGAUAGUGGCCUACCAUGGUGGCAACGGGUAACGGGGAAUUAGGGUUCGAUUCCGGAGAGGGAGCCUGAGAAACGGCUACCACAUCCAAGGAAGGCAGCAGGCGCGCAAAUUACCCAAUCCCGAUACGGGGAGGUAGUGACAAUAAAUACUGAUACGGGGCUCUUUCGGGUCUCGUAAUUGGAAUGAGAACAAUUUAAAUCCCUUAACGAGGAACAAUUGGAGGACAAG
RNAcentral lists this ribosomal RNA (520 nucleotides) under uncultured fungus. Its description in RNAcentral is "SSU rRNA". It matches the Rfam family "Eukaryotic small subunit ribosomal RNA", at positions 37 to 559 of the family's 1831-position model. The record is from RNAcentral. Lineage: Eukaryota; Fungi.